RNAcentral lists this ribosomal RNA (425 nucleotides) under uncultured Tomentella. Its description in RNAcentral is "eukaryotic LSU rRNA". The stretch from base 127 to 281 matches the Rfam family "5.8S ribosomal RNA". The record is from RNAcentral. Lineage: Eukaryota; Fungi; Basidiomycota; Agaricomycetes; Thelephorales; Thelephoraceae.
GUGCACCCUCCGUAGCUCUAUGGCCUGGGUGGGUUUGUCCCCCCUUGCUGUGGUUCUACGUAUUUACACACACACACUGCCAUAAAGUCUCAUGGAAUGUUUGCCGCGUUUAACGCAAUACAAUACAACUUUCAGCAACGGAUCUCUUGGCUCUCGCAUCGAUGAAGAACGCAGCGAAAUGCGAUAAGUAAUGUGAAUUGCAGAAUUCAGUGAAUCAUCGAAUCUUUGAACGCACCUUGCGCCCUUUGGCUAUUCUGAAGGGCAUGCCUGUUUGAGUAUCAUGAACACCUCAACUCCUCAUGGUUUGCCAUGAUGAGCUUGGACUUUGGGGGUCUUGCUGGCCUAUGGUUGGCUCCUCUCAAAUGGAUCAGCUUGCCAGUGUUUGGUGGCAUCACAGGUGUGAUAAAUAUCUACGCUUGUGGUUU